CAGAAGCAUGGAAUUACUACCUGAAUAGCAUUCAGCCAUCAUUCCCUCACUUAAUCAUUCAACAAACAGGUAUUGAGAAACUCGAGGCUCACGGGCAGAAGAGAUUUGCCUUGCCUCAGAUGACACUUUGGACUGUGGACUUUUGAGUUAAUGCUGAUAUGAGUUAAGACUUUGGGGGACUUAGGAAGUCCCAUGUUGGGAAGGCAUGAUUGGUUUUGAUAUGAGAGGACAUAAUAUUUGGGAGGGACCAGGGGUGGAAUGAUAUGAUUUGGCUGUGUUCCUACACAAAUCUCAUCUUGAAUUGUAGAUCCCAUAAUCCCCAUGUGUCGUGGGAGGGACCCUGGUGGGAGGUAAUUGACUUAUGGGGGUGUUUUUCCUGUGCUGUUCUUAUGAUAGUGAAUAAGGCUCACAUGAUCUGAUGGUUUUAUAAAUUACACUUUCCCUGAACAUAAUCUCUUGCCUGCUGCCAUGUAAGCUGUGCUUUUGCUCCUCCUUUGCCUUCCACCAUGACUGUGAGGCCUUCCUAAGCCAUGUGGAACUUUGAAUCCAUUAAACCUCUUUAUCUUUAUAAAUUACCCUGUCUUAGGUAUUUCUUUAUAGCAGUAUAAAAAUGGGCUAAUACAGCCAUAACUCUCUUCA
This 639-nucleotide long non-coding RNA is filed under the name Homo sapiens (human). RNAcentral describes it as "HSALNT0021591". The record is from RNAcentral. Lineage: Eukaryota; Metazoa; Chordata; Mammalia; Primates; Hominidae.